GGGAUUGCCUUAGUAACUGCGAGUGAAGCGGCAAAAGCUCAAAUUUGAAAUCGGUGUCCGUUCCGGGCAUCGAGUUGUAAUUUGGAGGGAUAACUUCGGUACGGACUACAUCGUAAGUUCCUUGGAACAGGACGUCAUAGAGGGUGAGAAUCCCGUGUCUUGGUGUUUGGCCGUGCCAUGUGAAGUGUCUCCGACGAGUCGAGUUGUUUGGGAAUGCAGCUCAAAAUGGGUGGUAAAUUUCAUCUAAAGCUAAAUAUUGGCGAGAGACCGAUAGCGCACAAGUAGAGUGAUCGAAAGAUGAAAAGCACUUUGAAAAGAGAGUUAAAAAGUACGUGAAAUUGUUGAAAGGGAAGCGCUUGCGACCAGACUCGAUCUUUGGUGAUCAGCCGGGCUUCGGUCCGGUGCCCUCACCAUUGAUUGGGCCAGCAUCGGUUCUGACGGCGGGACAAAAGGAGGAGGAAUGUGGCUCCCCUCGGGGAGUGUUAUAGCCUUCUUCACAAUGCCGCCAGUUGGGACCGAGGACCGCGCUUCGGCUAGGAUGCUGGCGUAAUGGUCUUAAGCGACCCGUCUUGAAACACGGACCAAGGAGUCUAACAUCUAUGCGAGUGUUCGGGUGGAAAACCCUUGCGCGUAAUGAAAGUGAACGGAGGUGUGAACCCUUCACGGGGUGCAACAUCGACCGGUCCUGAUGUCUUCGGAAGGAUCUGAGUAAGAGCAUAGCUGUUGGGACCCGAAAGAUGGUGAACUAUGCCUGAAUAGGGUGAAGCCAGAGGAAACUCUGGUGGAGGCUCGCAGCGGUUCUGACGUGCAA
This 811-nucleotide ribosomal RNA is filed under the name Tricharina hiemalis. RNAcentral's name for it is "partial large subunit ribosomal RNA". It matches the Rfam family "Eukaryotic large subunit ribosomal RNA", at positions 71 to 896 of the family's 3401-position model. The record is from RNAcentral. Lineage: Eukaryota; Fungi; Ascomycota; Pezizomycetes; Pezizales; Pyronemataceae.